RNAcentral lists this ribosomal RNA (846 nucleotides) under uncultured prokaryote. RNAcentral describes it as "bacterial SSU rRNA". It matches the Rfam family "Archaeal small subunit ribosomal RNA", at positions 510 to 1355 of the family's 1478-position model. The record is from RNAcentral.
CUUAAGGGGCCGUAGCUUGAUAAUAGGGUCCCUUGAGAAAUCCGCCGGCUUAACUGGCGGGCGUUCAGGGGAAACUUGUUUUCUAGGGACCGGGAGAGGUGAGGGGUACUGCCGGGGUAGGAGUGAGAUCCUGUAAUCCCGGUGGGACCACCUAUGGCGAAGGCAUCUCACCAGAACGGGUCCGACAGUGAGGGACGAAAGCUGGGGGAGCAAACCGGAUUAGAUACCCGGGUAGUCCCAGCUGUAAACUAUGUGCGUUAGGUGUGUCAGUGACCACGUGUCACUGAGGUGCCGAAGGGAAACCGUGAAACGCACCGCCUGGGGAGUACGGUCGCAAGGCUGAAACUUAAAGGAAUUGGCGGGGGAGCACCACAACGGGUGGAGCCUGCGGUUUAAUCGGACUCAACGCCGGGAAUCUCACCGGAUAAGACAGCUGAAUGAUAGUCGGGAUGAAGACUCUACUUGACUAGCUGAGAGGAGGUGCAUGGCCGUCGUCAGUUCGUACUGUGAAGCAUCCUGUUUAGUCAGGCAACGAGCGAGACCCACGCGAGCAGUUGCCAGCUUGACCUUCGGGUUGAUGGGGACACUGCUCGGACCGCCUCUGCUAAAGGGGAGGAAGGACUGGGCAACGGUAGGUCAGCAUGCCCCGAAUUAUCCGGGCUACACGCGGGCUACAAUGGACAGGACAAUGAGUUUCGACACCGAGAGGUGAGGAUAAUCUUCUAACCCUGUACCAAGUUCGGAUUGCGGGUUGUAACUCACCCGCAUGAAGCUGGAAUCCGUAGUAAUCGCGUUUCAACAUACCGCGGUGAAUAUGUCCCUGCUCCUUGCACUCACCGCCCGUAA